Molecule: ribosomal RNA, 253 nt
Filed under: uncultured bacterium
Lineage: Bacteria
Description: partial 16S ribosomal RNA
Rfam family: Bacterial small subunit ribosomal RNA
Source: RNAcentral
GACGAACCGUGCGAACGUUGUUCGGAUUCACUGGGCUUAAAGGGCGCGUAGGCGGAAGGCCUCGUCCGUGGUGAAAUCUUUCGGCUCAACCGGAAAAGUGCCGCGGAGACGGAUCUUCUCGAGGGAGGUAGGGGCAUGUGGAACUUCCGGUGGAGCGGUGAAAUGCGUAGAUAUCGGAAGGAACGCCGGUGGCGAAAGCGACGUGCUGGACCUCUUCUGACGCUGAGGCGCGAAAGCCAGGGGAGCAAACGGG